UACAGAGGAUGCAAGCGUUAUCCGGAAUUAUUGGGCGUAAAGCGUCUGCAGGCGGCUUGUUAAGUCCGACGUGAAAUCCCAGGGCUCAACCCUGGACAGGCAGUGGAAACUACCAAACUGGAGUCAGGUAGGGGCAGAGGGAAUUCCAGGUGGAGCGGUGAAAUGCGUAGAGAUCUGGAAGAACACCGGCGGCGAAGGCGCUCUGCUGGGCUGACACUGACGCUGAGGGGCGAAAGCGUGGGGAGCGAACAGG
RNAcentral lists this ribosomal RNA (253 nucleotides) under uncultured bacterium. Its description in RNAcentral is "partial 16S ribosomal RNA". It matches the Rfam family "Bacterial small subunit ribosomal RNA", at positions 524 to 776 of the family's 1533-position model. The record is from RNAcentral.